AAUUUCUUGAUCAAUGACAGGUCGUUCAACAUUUUCUCAAUUGCCUCAUCAUCAUGAGCCCGUCCUUUUGUCUUAAUAGAAGGUACCAUAGCAAUAGCUUCCUCCACAGUUUCAGGACAAAGGUUGCCAAGAACACAUAGCUCAAAUUCAGCCAACUGAUAUCGGCUAAGAAUUUCUCGAACUUGUCUGACAGCAUCAGGAUUUUUAUAACGGCUAAA
RNAcentral lists this unclassified non-coding RNA (218 nucleotides) under Hevea brasiliensis (rubber tree). The record is from RNAcentral. Lineage: Eukaryota; Viridiplantae; Streptophyta; Magnoliopsida; Malpighiales; Euphorbiaceae.